AGCGGGUCCGUUUCUAGUGUCAUGUGCUGUAUUCGAAUAUCAUGACUAGAGGCAGACUCGUUUA
RNAcentral lists this microRNA precursor (64 nucleotides) under Aedes aegypti (yellow fever mosquito). The record is from RNAcentral. Lineage: Eukaryota; Metazoa; Arthropoda; Insecta; Diptera; Culicidae.